This 1372-nucleotide ribosomal RNA is filed under the name uncultured bacterium. RNAcentral's name for it is "bacterial SSU rRNA". It matches the Rfam family "Bacterial small subunit ribosomal RNA", at positions 28 to 1381 of the family's 1533-position model. The record is from RNAcentral.
GAUGAACGCUGGCGGCGUGCCUAAUACAUGCAAGUCGAGCGAACGGACGAGAAGCUUGCUUCUCUGAUGUUAGCGGCGGACGGGUGAGUAACACGUGGAUAACCUACCUAUAAGACUGGGAUAACUUCGGGAAACCGGAGCUAAUACCGGAUAAUAUUUUGAACCGCAUGGUUCAAAAGUGAAAGACGGUCUUGCUGUCACUUAUAGAUGGAUCCGCGCUGCAUUAGCUAGUUGGUAAGGUAACGGCUUACCAAGGCAACGAUGCAUAGCCGACCUGAGAGGGUGAUCGGCCACACUGGAACUGAGACACGGUCCAGACUCCUACGGGAGGCAGCAGUAGGGAAUCUUCCGCAAUGGGCGAAAGCCUGACGGAGCAACGCCGCGUGAGUGAUGAAGGUCUUCGGAUCGUAAGACUCUGUUAUUAGGGAAGAACAUAUGUGUAAGUAACUGUGCACAUCUUGACGGUACCUAAUCAGAAAGCCACGGCUAACUACGUGCCAGCAGCCGCGGUAAUACGUAGGUGGCAAGCGUUAUCCGGAAUUAUUGGGCGUAAAGCGCGCGUAGGCGGUUUUUUAAGUCUGAUGUGAAAGCCCACGGCUCAACCGUGGAGGGUCAUUGGAAACUGGAAAACUUGAGUGCAGAAGAGGAAAGUGGAAUUCCAUGUGUAGCGGUGAAAUGCGCAGAGAUAUGGAGGAACACCAGUGGCGAAGGCGACUUUCUGGUCUGUAACUGACGCUGAUGUGCGAAAGCGUGGGGAUCAAACAGGAUUAGAUACCCUGGUAGUCCACGCCGUAAACGAUGAGUGCUAAGUGUUAGGGGGUUUCCGCCCCUUAGUGCUGCAGCUAACGCAUUAAGCACUCCGCCUGGGGAGUACGACCGCAAGGUUGAAACUCAAAGGAAUUGACGGGGACCCGCACAAGCGGUGGAGCAUGUGGUUUAAUUCGAAGCAACGCGAAGAACCUUACCAAAUCUUGACAUCCUUUGACAACUCUAGAGAUAGAGCCUUCCCCUUCGGGGGACAAAGUGACAGGUGGUGCAUGGUUGUCGUCAGCUCGUGUCGUGAGAUGUUGGGUUAAGUCCCGCAACGAGCGCAACCCUUAAGCUUAGUUGCCAUCAUUGAGUUGGGCACUCUAAGUUGACUGCCGGUGACAAACCGGAGGAAGGUGGGGAUGACGUCAAAUCAUCAUGCCCCUUAUGAUUUGGGCUACACACGUGCUACAAUGGACAAUACAAAGGGCAGCGAAACCGCGAGGUCAAGCAAAUCCCAUAAAGUUGUUCUCAGUUCGGAUUGUAGUCUGCAACUCGACUACAUGAAGCUGGAAUCGCUAGUAAUCGUAGAUCAGCAUGCUACGGUGAAUACGUUCCCGGGUCU